GCCAUCAUUCAGUUGGGCAUCUAGCGAGACUGCCGGUAAUAAACCGGAGGAAGGUGGGAUGACGUCAAAUCAUCAUGCCCCUUAUGACCUGGGCUACACACGUGCUACAAUGGUUGGUACAACGAGUUGCGAGUCGGUGACGGCGAGCUAAUCUCUUAAAGCCAAUCUCAGUUCGGAUUGUAGGCUGCAACUCGCCUACAUGAAGUCGGAAUCGCUAGUAAUCGCGGAUCAGCACGCCUAGUCCAGUGUCGGCCUU
Molecule: ribosomal RNA, 256 nt
Filed under: uncultured Streptococcus sp.
Lineage: Bacteria; Bacillati; Bacillota; Bacilli; Lactobacillales; Streptococcaceae
Description: partial 16S ribosomal RNA
Rfam family: Bacterial small subunit ribosomal RNA
Source: RNAcentral